Molecule: non-coding RNA, 5812 nt
Organism: Callithrix jacchus (white-tufted-ear marmoset)
Lineage: Eukaryota; Metazoa; Chordata; Mammalia; Primates; Cebidae
Source: RefSeq, a predicted model, not a curated record
GGAGUUUGCAGCUGCUGCUGAAUUUAGGAGUAGCCACCCUGAAAAAUUCCCCUGGGGGCCCUGGUCUUGGACCCAACAGCUGGUGGGGAGGCACCCACCUGCCCCAUGUGACCCCCAGCUAAUUAUUCUCUGAGAGACACUGGCUGUAAAAUGGUUGGUCAGAAGCCUGCCCUGAUCCCCUCGAAGGCCUCUUCCCACCCCAUGGGAGAGACCAGCAUGGCAGCCCUGGAGCACAAGGCCAUGCGCUGGGGGUGGGCCUGGGCUCUGGGGCAGGGUCUGCCAUGGUCAAGUGUGGCUCGGUGUCAACUGGGAAAGCAGAAGUCUGCAGCCAAGCUGGGGCCCUCCCUUCCCUCUUCUCCCUGCAGCACGGGGCGGGACGGGGUGAGGGCAGGGAGAAUGGCAGACAGGCCGACCUCGGGCUGUGGGUAUCUAGCCUGAAGCCUCCUGGCUGGGCAUGGCUGCAGCUAAGAAGACCCCACAGGGGAGGCUUUGUGACCAUCUCCAUCCCGACCCUACCCGCUCCUCCAGGAAGCCCUCCUGAGUCACCCUUGCGAGUCUGAGCUCCUACCUCUUUGGAUCCUGCCUGUCGUCCACACCUGACUGCCACACCCUCUAGGUUUUUGGGAACACAAAUCUUGUCUCUUGGGCUCGUGGUGGCUAUGCCUCCCUCCUGCUGGCUCUGUGGCCCUCAUCACUGGAGGCCUCGCCCCUUGGGGCUCUGCCAUGUAUGUGCCGUGGGCCUAGUGGGGGUCUCACAGCACUUCACCGGCCCUGGUAGUCAUGUGGGAGCAGCCCCUGCACACCUGGGCCAUCACCCAUGGAGGACAUUUCCCAGACAUGGGGAGAUGUUAACCUCUAGCCCUCUGGGACCAAAAUUGAGCCUGAGUCUGAAGAUGUGGCCUAACUCUGGCCCUUGGGAUGGGGAGGUCUGACACCGCCUACCUCUCUGCCCCUCCCAUGCGGCCUCCACAUGGCCGUGGGUUCCUCCGAAGGGGCUCUACCACCUGCUCCCUAGUAUGGAACACCCUGGGGUCCCAUCUCCAAGAGACUUUCUGGGUGACAGAUGGGACACUGAGGCUCAGAAAGGGGAGGAUGUUGGCUGAGGGUCACGCGGCGGGUGGAGUAGAGUCCACACUGAAACCCAGUACCCUGGUUAUCAGCCAGGAUGAGCCCUGUUUUUGGUAUUUGCACUGAGAAGCGUGUACAUGAGAAGGAACCUUCCGGAGGAGAGUUCAGUUAAAGCUGAUGAUGUCCUCGCUCAGCUGGCCUUUCCGCUGUUGGGGCUUAUUCUUCCAGAAUGUUCCAGCACAGCCCCUCCCAUGACACCCUUGGCUCCCACACUCCAAUGUGCACUUCUGCCAAUGCCUGUCCAUCACGUGCAGGUGCUGGGCCUUCCUUCCUGGAGGCUGCCCACGGAGCUGCUGUUCUUUCUAAUGGUGCUUAUGGACCCUGCUGGACUCUGCCUUGUUGGGCAUUCUCUUGUUUUCUCUGUGGGGCUCUCACCAGCCAGUGCCGUCAUGGACCCUCCUGUCCAUCUGGAGGUGCCCUCCCGGAUGGAGUUCAGAGGUGACAUCACUGGGUCCACUUCACAUUCUAAAAUUCGAUGGGACCUUGGUGGGGCUUUGGUUCUCUGAAGAGGAAGUGUGAGGGGUGCCCUGGGGCCAUUGGGAGCCUUCACCCAGCAGGAGUCAUCUAUGUGGGGAGCUGGGCUGGGGUCUCUGCCUCCUUCCAGAAGGUGUCAGGCACCCCCUGGCCCUCCUGGGAGAAGCUGAGAUAAUAGGUGACCAGGCCAUGAGGGGUGGCCACAGGAGAUGGGACCACAGGCUCUGGAGCUCCUCAGCUGGACAGAACAGCCCCCUGAGCUCAGAGAAGGCCUGUCCUGCUUGAUAGAGGACUGGUCAGCCUUGUCCUGGAUGGAUGUGACUCUCAGCAGGCAGAUGACCUUUAUGAGACAGUCUGCCCACAUUUCAUUGCCUGUCCCUCUCCCUGUGGAGAGGAGGGGUGCUGUGGGCUGGGCAGGGUGGUAAGGAAUGGCUGUGGUCCCGAGGCUGGGGGCCUUCUCCCCCUCCCUUGGCUGGCACUGUUUCCUGACCUGGCUGCCCUGAGCCUCUCUUGAGGGCUGUGGACCUGCCAUGUCACCCUUUGUGUGACCAUUCUGUCACAGGGCUCUGGGAGUGCCUGAGAGGACAGCAAGACCCCUCUCUGACUCCCAGAGCCCCACAUUGGGAAGGGGGCACCUGCCAUGUGCCCAUGGGGGGCUGAAUGGGCAAAGAUGUUGAGUGAAAGUUACCACACACAUGAGGUUUGGGUCCUGGGUGCAAAUCUUCCACCUUCUUUCUUUAGGCCAAGAAGCCUUUGCAGCAUCUGCCUUAGUUCUCUGUUGCUUUGUAACAAAUCACCACAAAACUGAGUGGCUUAAAACAGCAGUAAUCAUUCAUCAUCAUUCACAGUUUCUGUGGGUCAGGACUUUGGAAACAGCUUAGUCAAUGGGUGGUUCUGCCUUGGGGUUUCCCAUGAGGCUGCAGCCAGACGUUGGCCAGAGCUGCAUCAUCUGAAUGUCUGGCCAGGGCUGGAGGAGCUGCUUCCAAGCUGGUGCACCACAAGGCUGGCACAAUGCUUCCCUCCACGGUGCUGCUUGAGCAUCCUCUCAACAUGGCACUGGCUUCACCCAGUGCAAGCGAUCCAGCAGGCCAAGGCAGAAGCUGCCCUGCCUUUAGGAGCAAGACUCGAGAGUCAUGCAUUGUUACAUCCACAGUGUUCUGGUGGUCACCUGACCCCUCGGAUUGCCAGCUCCAGCAGUGGCCUGUCUCUAAGACGGCUCUUGCAGCACUGCCCUAUGGCCCAUUUUCUCACAUGCCUGGCUCCUCUCAACAGAUUCCCUUGGCUCUGGUUUGCAGGAGUUUGACGUGUCAGUUACAGAGCGCUUGGUGCCUUUUCUUUUCUGCCUGAAGACAGAGAACAGCUUGAAGAGCAAAGGUGACAAUCGUGCCAGAAGAAGGAAAAAAUAAUACUUUAUAACGAGUCAGCAAUGAAAGCCCAGGCGGGCAGGAGGUUUGCACUGAGGAUGAAACAGGCUGCUGGUGUGGGGCCUGGGGGCCCAGAGGCCUGAGUCCAUGGGUGAGUUGCUGGGCCCUGCCUACACUCCGGGAGAUUCCACAUCCAUGUGCGUUGCAGGUCGAGAGUCUGUCCCCAGCAUCUCCACAGUAAUAGUUUUCAUUCCCUGUCGCUCAAUGCCCCCCCUUUUUUGUUGAGAUGGAGUUUUGCUCUUGUUGCCCAGGCUGGAGUGCAAUGGUUCGAUCUCGGCUCACUGCAACCUCCGCCCUUCUGAGUUCAAGCAAUUCUCCUGUCUCAGCCUCCCAAGUGGCUGGAAUCAAAGCUCCUUUUAAUGCAAAAAGAAUAAAAAGUUUAUAAAGGAGGAAGGAAGAUGCCCACUUUAGAUCUGUUUGGUCCCUGACCUUGGCUUAAGAGGGCACUGGUGCUCGGAGGUCUCUGCUGGCUGGGAAGAAGUGGGGUUGGGGGGCUGCCUCUGCCCUGCCCACUCCUGUCUGUGCCCUGGUCACCUCCUGCCUCUGCCCUGCCCACUCCUGCCUGUGCCCCGUCCACCUUCCUGUGUGGCCGUUCCUGCCCCCAAAGCCUGCAGCUGCUGCCCUGCCCCUGGUCUGCCCACUUCUUCCCAGGCUCCCUCUGAGAUCUGCCCUUCACUCCACAGCAGGAUGCCAGUUGGACCCAGUCACUCCUUCACAGCAAACCCUCCAGGUGAAGCCCACAUUCCCGCCCUGGGCCAGCUGGGCACUCUUCCGUUCCCCAGCACCUGCCACAGCAGGGCUGCCUCCCCUUUGCAUGUUUUGUCCCCAGAGUUUCUAACUCAAACCUUCCCUAACUCCCUUCCACCUGGUGCUGUCUUCCUCAUCCCUCGGCACAGGGCUGAGACCCCAGAAACCCUGGCUGGGUUGUGGGCCCUUCCUUUGCUCGCCCCCCCCACCCCGAUCCCCGACCCCUUGGAGCUGCAAUGCAGGUGUCUGCUUUCCUCACUGGUCUGUGACCUCCCUGAGGCCCCAGCCUCUCUGCUGUGUUCCCAGGGCUUGGCCCAGCGUAGAUGUCCAGUGGGUGUCAGGGUGGAUGCUGUGGCAGCAGCUCAGAUGCAUGUUUGGAUGUUGCAAUAGUGGUGUUGGGGCCGGUGGAUGAGGAACCACCGUGGACAUGCAAGCUGACAGCCCAUGGCCACAGGAAAUACACGAAAUACACAAGGCCCAUUUCCUUAGCUGUGGUCUCAAUUCCAGAGUCAACACCAAUAGGUGGACUUCUUCUUGUGCCUUCAGGCAGCCAGGCUGGGACCCAGAUGGCCAGUGAGUUUUGGGUUAGCAGCCUCGGCUCCUGGAGACGCUGCUGUGGGCAGAGCUCCUGUUCUGUGCUGGAAAUUUGAGUCCUUGUGGUGGAGAAAGGGAGGGAGACAGAGGAUGGCUCAUGGUGAUCUGUGCCUCUCUUGGCCAGGGGGACGUCAGGGCUGGUGAGCAUAUGGGGUGGGAGGUGAGGCAUCGUGAGGUCCUGGUCAUGUCUCUCACUUGUGAGGACUUGACACUCACCAGGGCUGGCUCUUGUGGAUGACAUCGGUGUCAUAAGCUCCAAUGCGACAUCAAGGGGUGUCCUGGAGAGGAAGGGAGGCCCACUGGCCUCUUGAGGGCAGAGCAGACAGCCUCUGGCUCUCUGGGAGGCCCAUGGUAUCAUGCCUCAGCUCUCCCAUGCGCCUCUGCCCUGCUCACUCAGCUGGCCUCCCUCAUUAGUGCCCGCUCUGCGCCACAUGAGCCACUGACCCAUGUCCCUUGCUUUCGUUCCAAUGGGCCUGCUGGCCUUGGCUCACAUGUCCACCCAAGUCUGCACUUGGGAGAUGGGGUCCUUGGUGCGGGACCCCUGAAGGGUGCCGAUGACCUGGGCCCUACAGAAGUGCCCGGUUCGGGGAGGCAGGAAGCAGAGCUCUGGGGUGGCUUUUGAUUUUCUGUUUCUCCCAGCCCAUCCCAGGGACCCCUCCACCCUGUGACACCCACCUGCGUGUAGGCGCAUGACCUGAGAGCCCAGAGGGGACCCAUGAGAGGGGAGGGAGGAAGGUGGGCAGACUCCAAUUCCAGCAGCCUGGAGUCACACUGGGACAAGUGGACACUCCACGGUGCAUCUGUAGAGGAGGACCGUGUCACUGAGCAGCUCCUAGGCAGCUCAGCCAUUCUGGAGGCCCCUGGGGCUCUAUCCUAUCAGCACCAAGCAACUGUGCUCCCAAACUCUGGGGCAUACAGCCUAGGGAAGACGGGGCUUUGGGUGGCCUGAUGGUGCCUCCUGAGGGACUCUGAGCAGGUCUGAAUCUUUCCAAGCCUUUGUUUCUCAAGGUACAGAGUAGAGAUGCUCGCCUACAAGACGGAAGGUCUGGGGGAGGGGGAGGGAUUUCAGAACAUGCGGCAGGGCAUAACAUUAUUCUGUGCGGAAAGCAUUUGCAUUUCAGAAACCCCUUAUCUGUCUAAAAGCAGAGCCUCCCAAAAUAACUCGAAAGAACUCGUGUCAUCCAUCCCUCCCUGGAGCAACCAGGGAAGACAGACUCUUAUCACAAUCACAGUGAUGAGAAACCUCCGUUGCACACGAAGACAGGUGGUCCCGGAGCCGCGCUGCCAUCUGUCCACUUCAGGGCCCCUUCACCUUUCCAGAAAGCCGUUUGUUUUCCCGUGCAUGCCCUUCUCCCCCUCCCCUGAUUUUCAUGUACCCCUAAGAGGGUUUGUAAGCCCUGGAUUCUAACACUCCUCUGAAUCCCACUUUUCCGUGGGAGCAUGUA